Long non-coding RNA from Leopardus geoffroyi (Geoffroy's cat), 528 nucleotides. RefSeq lists it as uncharacterized. Lineage: Eukaryota; Metazoa; Chordata; Mammalia; Carnivora; Felidae. The record is from RefSeq and is a predicted model, not a curated record. The transcript is spliced from 4 exons.
GAUCUGGACCCAGAGACCACGUCCUCUCCUCGAGAACUGCAUCAGGGCCAGCGCAACACUGUCAACACCAAAUGGAUUCCCAAAGAUGGGAUGCGUCUUCUGUCCAGGAAACUUGCUACAGCAAACACAGCCCUGGGCCUGGGACCCACAACAGAGGUCAGACCCCCAUAUAACGUGAUUUCCAGAGAAGACACAGCAAGCUGAGAAAUGAAACAGGUGUGAAAACAACACUGUGGUUAUGUAAGGAUGCCUUCUGCGUUUUUAAAAGGUACGUCCUCUGAGUUGAGAAGUGGAAGUUUCGCGGCCUCUACGGUGUGCUCCAAAAUACCACAGCAACAAAAAAAAAAAAAGGAAAAGGAAGAGAAGGAACGAACAAGAUAGGAACCAUGUGGCAAAAUCUUGACCAUGAUCAUGGAAUUGAAACAAGAACCAUUUUAAAAGCUCCUGUAUUGAAGGAGUAAGGGAACAAAAUGACCGGAGCCAAGGAGGCACAGAGCCAUGAUCUCUGACUGGAGGGGACGAGGCUGG